GUGCCGAAAUUAUAUACGAUAACAAAAGAUGGACAUACGAAGGUUAACCGAAAACGGGUAUUAAAGCUUCAUAUGUCAGCCGAAGCCUACACGAUGGAUCACGAAGGCUACGCGAUGGAUUACGAAGGCUACACAAUGGAUUACGAUGAUGGCGCGAUGGCCAUACGAUGUCUAAAAGAUACGAACAGAAUUUCGACAACAUAUCGUUUCUGUACAAGUCUGCCAUGCAUGGCGGGAAAUCGAUCUUUUUGUCUAAUUCUUAUAAAACUUAGUUUAUUAUCCCCUCGCCUACUACAUGUAAGUUGCGUGUAUAUAAA
This 317-nucleotide long non-coding RNA is filed under the name Mytilus galloprovincialis (Mediterranean mussel). The record is from RNAcentral. Lineage: Eukaryota; Metazoa; Mollusca; Bivalvia; Mytilida; Mytilidae.